This 3021-nucleotide ribosomal RNA is filed under the name Triticum aestivum (bread wheat). Its description in RNAcentral is "partial small subunit ribosomal RNA". The record is from RNAcentral. Lineage: Eukaryota; Viridiplantae; Streptophyta; Magnoliopsida; Poales; Poaceae.
AUGUCUUCGAAGGGCAAGAAGAAGCAGAAGCCGUCGGUGUCCCCGCAGCCGUCACCUCGUACCCCCCUCUCUCGCGCCCGUGAAGGCACCGGCGGCUGCAUCCUGGACCUCCCGUCCACCGCUGCAGCGGCAGCGGCGCGGUACCCGGCGCUCGUACCCCGCGGAGGCGCCGGUUGUUUCACCGGCACCGUCUUCGAUGUGGUCUCCAGGGGCGGGAUUCGUGGUGGCGAGGGGAGGCUCUGGCUCUCCGGGGACGCCAUGGCCAGCUCCGGGCUGCGGCAUGGGUGUCUCGUCUCUGUGUCACUCAUUUCUUCAAGUAGUAACAGUUUAGAUGAAUUCCCACUUGAUAGCUUAUUGGAGGAGUGCACCAGAUUCUUUGAUCUUGAUGUGGACAAUGAUCUCAUCUCUAAUGAAGCUGGGGUGAACUUUGUGACUGCCAAAGUUUUCCCUUCAUGUGAGGUUCAAAAGAAUGGCAUCAAGCUCUCUUGGGACCUUGCCUGCACGCUGGGAUACCCUGUAGUAGGUCGUCCUUUGUUAAUUAGCCCCCUAUAUACAUCUCAAGCCCCAAAACAAACUGAUGGUGGUGAGUUUUUGAGGGUGAUAAAAUGCAGUGAUCUCUACCUUAGUCUAGUUCCACCAAAAGUUGCACCAUGCAGCCAUAAUAAGUCAGAGUCUGAUUGCCAUCCUGUAAGAAAUGUGAUGGUUAUGGAGUCACCUAAAAGGAUUCCUUCAACUUCUCCAUGCAGAAAUGAAUCCCAUCACGGUGCAUCUUACAGUGGUUCUUCAUUGUGCUUGGAUCAAGCCACUGCAAAAUCAGUAUUGGCAGAUGAUAAAAUAAAUGACUUGCUGCAGACUUCUGCAUCACGGUGGCUCGGUGGUAGGCACUUACUGAAAGGAAACUACGUUCCUCUCCCAAUGUGCGGGAAACUAUCUAUGUUUGUAGUUUUGCGUGCAGAAACAGAUGGUUCUGCCCUGGAUGUAGUGCAUGAGAAAAACAAUUCAAUGUCUAAUGCAGAGGUCUCUGGUAAAUUGGUUGAAACCCCUGCUUUGUUCCUUGUCAACAGAACCACAAAAGUGCACCUUUCUGAUUUGUCAUCUUCAAAGGAGUUUGGGUCAGAUAAGCUAGGGCUCCCACCAGAAUAUUCCGUGUGUGCUGAUACAGGAAAUGAAGAUACCAAUCCUAACCAAAGGCUUGGUGGGUUAUCUGAAGUAUCAGCAAAAGUAAAAGAAAUGAUUUCAUUUUCGCUGGCAGAUCAAAUUAGUCUGCCGAGGAAUGGUUUGCAUGAUUUACCAAGGUAUAAAGGUAUUCUUCUUUAUGGUCCACCUGGAACAGGGAAAACCUCUCUUGCUUCUUCAUGUGCCUAUGAUCUGGGAGCCAAUCUUUUUACAAUCAAUGGACCAGAGAUCAUUAGUCAGUAUCACGGUGAAAGUGAACAAGCAUUGUAUGAUGCUUUCACUUCAGCUAAGCAAGCUGCACCUGCUGUGAUAUUUAUUGAUGAAUUGGACGCGAUUGCUCCAGCCAGGAAGGAUGGAGGCGAGGAGUUAUCUCUUAGAAUGGUUGCCACUCUGUUAAAACUGAUGGAUGAGAUUGGCCGUAAUGAUCGUGUUAUCCUGAUUGCUGCUACAAAUCGGCCUGAAAGUAUUGAUCGUGCAUUACUGCGCCCAGGAAGAUUCGAUCAAGAAAUUGAAAUAGGAGUACCAUCUCCAGGACAGAGGCUGGACAUACUUCACCUCCUUCUAAGUGGAGUUCACCACUCUCUCACUAGUGAGGAAGUUGAGUGCCUUGCUUUUGCCACUCAUGGAUUCGUGGGUGCUGAUCUAGCUGCACUCUGCAACGAGGCUGCAUUGAGUGCUCUUCGCCGUUAUAUCAGUGUAAAAGAAAGUUCAACUCAACCACUUGGUGAUCGUGCCACACAUGCAGAAAAGACUAAUAUUCAAGAAAUUGAUGGCCUUUUGGGUUAUGAAAUAAGCUCAUUAUCAUCAUCUCUCUCAAAGUUAACCAUGUCAACGGAGGAUUAUAGCUGGACCAAUAGAGGUGAUAUCAUAGAAAGUAGCGAGCUGAAUGAUAAGAAAGAUGAGUUGCUAUUGUUGGUGAUUAAAGAUGACUUUGAACAAGCUAAAAUGAAAGUUAGACCAAGUGCAAUGCGUGAGGUAAUGCUAGAGCUUCCGAAGGUACAAUGGGAGGAUGUUGGUGGUCAAGCCAGGAUUAAGAAGCAGUUAAUUGAAGCCAUCCAGUUGCCACAGAAAUGCCCAGACGCAUUUGAACGCUUAGGGAUCCGCCCUCCUAGAGGAUUGUUAAUGAUUGGACCACCAGGUUGCAGUAAGACAUUGAUGGCUCGCGCCGUAGCUUCUGAAGCAAAAAUGAAUUUCCUUGCAGUUAAGGGUCCUGAGCUUUUCAGCAAAUGGGUCGGUGACUCUGAGAAGGCAGUGAGAUCAUUAUUUGCGAAGGCGAAGGAUAAUGCGCCUGCAAUAUUAUUUUUUGAUGAAAUAGAUGGGCUUGCAGUAACUCGUGGCCAUGGAAAUAAUGGCAUAUCUGUUGCUGAUAGGGUACUCAGUCAGCUGCUACAGGAAAUGGAUGGUUUGGACCAAAAGAUUGGUGUCACUGUUAUUGCAGCUACGAAUCGUCCUGACAAAAUCGACAUUGCACUUCUGAGACCAGGUCGUUUCGAUAGACUGCUUGAUGUUCAGCCACCAGAUGAAGCUGACCGUGAAGAUAUUUUCCGGAUUCAUACACGCAGCAUUCCCUGCAGUCACGAUGUUAAUCUAAACGAACUCGCUAGACUCACAGAAGGCUACACCGGUGCUGACAUAAAGCUCGUCUGCAGGGAAGCCGCUGUAGCUGCUCUUGAUGAGAACUUUGACAUCCCAGAAGUAGCAACUACACACUUCAAGUCGGCAAUCGACCGAGUAAGUCCAUCAGAUAUGAAGUUUUACCAAGAACUCGCGGCACGAUUCCGCCGACUCGUUGAUGACACAGAUAAAGCAACAAUGCCCGGAACACAUACCGAACCUGCCAUUUAG